NCACUACUGAAGAGUCCCAAACCAGGACGAAACAGCUGUCCAGUAC
Molecule: non-coding RNA, 46 nt
Filed under: Trichobilharzia regenti
Lineage: Eukaryota; Metazoa; Platyhelminthes; Trematoda; Strigeidida; Schistosomatidae
Source: RNAcentral